This 484-nucleotide ribosomal RNA is filed under the name uncultured bacterium. Its description in RNAcentral is "partial 16S ribosomal RNA". It matches the Rfam family "Bacterial small subunit ribosomal RNA", at positions 30 to 507 of the family's 1533-position model. The record is from RNAcentral.
AUUGAACGCUGGCGGCAGGCCUAACACAUGCAAGUCGAGCGGAUGAAGGGAGCUUGCUCCUGGAUUCAGCGGCGGACGGGUGAGUAAUGCCUAGGAAUCUGCCUGGUAGUGGGGGAUAACGUCCGGAAACGGGCGCUAAUACCGCAUACGUCCUGAGGGAGAAAGUGGGGGAUCUUCGGACCUCACGCUAUCAGAUGAGCCUAGGUCGGAUUAGCUAGUUGGUGGGGUAAAGGCCUACCAAGGCGACGAUCCGUAACUGGUCUGAGAGGAUGAUCAGUCACCCUGGAACUGAGACACGGUCCAGACUCCUACGGGAGGCAGCAGUGGGGAAUAUUGGACGAUGGGCGAAAGCCUGAUCCAGCCAUGCCGCGUGUGUGAAGAAGGUCUUCGGAUUGUAAAGCACUUUAAGUUGGGAGGAAGGGCAGUAAGUUAAUACCUUGCUGUUUUGACGUUACCAACAGAAUAAGCACCGGCUAACUUCGUG